AUUUACAGCUGGAAGGGCAGACGGAGGCCUCCUGGCGUAUACACAGCCCUGCUGGGCCACAUCCCGGGUCUCCUCCCUCCGCGAUGCCACAGCAGGGGCGCCUUCCGAAAGCCCUCUGGAUUGAGGCAGCAGGAUCUAUGGUGGAAACUGCCCCGGCGUCGCCAAGGCCCCUAGGACCCCAGCACACUGUCAGGGGAGCAUCCUUGUGUCGUUUCUGCCCAGAGAGGAGCAGAAGCCAGGCUGCUGCGCUGGGAGAUGAGACUUCCUGGCAUACCUGCACUUCCAGAUGAGACUUCCAGGUGCACCUGUACUUCCACAUGAGACUUCCCGGUGCACUUGCACUUCCUGGUGCAGACUUCUUGGUUCAUCUGCACUUCCUGGUGAGAAUCCCUCACGCAUCUGCACUUCCUGAUGCACCUGCACUUCUAGUUAUUUUAGAGAAAACACUCCCCAAACAUGCCACAUGCAGAGGAUGCUGGGUAUCAGGCUACCUUUGCUGGACAGCUCCAGGUAACUGCAUUUGCUCUGCCAAUGUUGGCUUAAAAAAUAGAAAACACAGACAGACAAAUCCAUCACACACACGCACAGACACACACACACAGAGUCAAUGAUGUUGGCUCACAAGUAGAGCUCUUCAUCUGUUUAUAUUUAAUGCAAUUACUGAUACAUCUAAGUUUGGAGCUGCUGUUUUCUUUUAUGCAUACGAUUUGUUUGCAGAUUCUGUGUAUAACUUCUUUCCUUUCUUGCCUUUUUUUAGAUGAUUUUCCCCAGCUUACCUUGAGGAUUUUCGAGCAAACAGACACGUUGAAAGAAUAGACAAGGACCACUUGCAUGCCCUCAGUUAGAGUCACCAACUGUCAAUAUUUUGCACUGUAUGUAUACAUGUACAUGUCUGUGUAUACACAUAUACACAUACAGUCAUGCAUCGACCGAUGGCAGGGAUGGUUCUGAGGAAGGCGCUGUUAGGUGAUUUUGUCUAUGCGAGCAUCAUAGUGUGAACUUACUCAAACCCAGAUGGCACAGACUUAUCGCCUCCCACACGCCUGGGCUGUAUGGCAGGACCUCCUGCUCCCAGGCUACAAACCCAGGCAGGGUGGUACUGUACUGAACGCUGCAGGUGAUUGUAACACAAUGGUAAGUAUUUGUGCAUCUAAACAUACGUAAACAUAGAAACAGUGUAGUAAAAAUAUGGUAUAAAAGAUAAAAUACGGUACACCUGUACAAGGUCUGCUCUGUUCUAAUCUUAUGGGGCCACCAUUGUACAUGCGGUCCAUUCUUGACAGACGUGCUGUUAUGUGGCACAUGACUGUGCAUGGAAAUACACACACACACACACAUCCACACAUAAGCAUACGCAUACAUACACACAUACAUGUAUAUACACGUGCAUAUAACAUAUGUAGCUAUCUGCCAAUUGCCAUCCAACGUGAAUUCCAUAAAUUU
RNAcentral lists this long non-coding RNA (1443 nucleotides) under Pongo abelii (Sumatran orangutan). RNAcentral describes it as "lincRNA". The record is from RNAcentral. Lineage: Eukaryota; Metazoa; Chordata; Mammalia; Primates; Hominidae.